UACAGAGGUCCCAAGCGUUGUUCGGAUUCACUGGGCGUAAAGGGUGCGUAGGUGGUCGGGUAAGUCUGAUGUGAAAUCUCCGAGCUCAACUCGGAAAUGGCAUUGGAUACUAUUCGGCUAGAGGGUUUGAGGGGGGACUGGAAUACUUGGUGUAGCAGUGAAAUGCGUAGAUAUCAAGUGGAACACCAGUGGCGAAGGCGAGUCCCUGGAAAACUCCUGACACUGAGGCACGAAAGCCAGGGGAGCGAACGGG
Molecule: ribosomal RNA, 253 nt
Filed under: uncultured bacterium
Lineage: Bacteria
Description: partial 16S ribosomal RNA
Rfam family: Bacterial small subunit ribosomal RNA
Source: RNAcentral